Molecule: ribosomal RNA, 425 nt
Filed under: uncultured bacterium
Lineage: Bacteria
Description: partial 16S ribosomal RNA
Rfam family: Bacterial small subunit ribosomal RNA
Source: RNAcentral
GUGGGGAAUAUUGGACAAUGGGCGAAAGCCUGAUCCAGCAAUGCCGCGUGAGUGAUGAAGGCCUUAGGGUUGUAAAGCUCUUUUACCCGGGAUGAUAAUGACAGUACCGGGAGAAUAAGCUCCGGCUAACUCCGUGCCAGCAGCCGCGGUAAUACGGAGGGAGCUAGCGUUGUUCGGAAUUACUGGGCGUAAAGCGCACGUAGGCGGCUUUGUAAGUUAGAGGUGAAAGCCUGGAGCUUAACUCCAGAACUGCCUUUAAGACUGCAUCGCUUGAAUCCAGGGGAGGUGAGUGGAAUUCCGAGUGUAGAGGUGAAAUUCGUAGAUAUUCGGAAGAACACCAGUGGCGAAGGCGGCUCACUGGACUGGUAUUGACGCUGAGGUGCGAAAGCGUGGGGAGCAAACAGGAUUAGAUACCCGUGUAGUCC